This 253-nucleotide ribosomal RNA is filed under the name uncultured bacterium. RNAcentral's name for it is "partial 16S ribosomal RNA". It matches the Rfam family "Bacterial small subunit ribosomal RNA", at positions 524 to 776 of the family's 1533-position model. The record is from RNAcentral.
UACAGAGGUCCCAAGCGUUGUUCGGAUUCACUGGGCGUAAAGGGUGCGCAGGUGGGUUGGCAAGUUCGAUGUGAAAGCCCCGGGCUUAACCCGGGAAUGGCAUUGGAUACUGCUGAUCUGGAGGAUCGGAGGGGGGACUGGAAUUCUUGGUGUAGCAGUGAAAUGCGUAGAUAUCAAGAGGAACACCAGUGGCGAAGGCGGGUCCCUGGACGAUACCUGACACUGAGGCACGAAAGCCAAGGGAGCAAACAGG